UCAUAAUGGCCAUACGGCCUGGGCAACACACAGCUACAAUGGACGGUACAAAGGGUUGCCAAGCCGCGAGGUGGAGCUAAUCCCAUAAAACCGAUCGUAGUCCGGAUCGCAGUCUGCAACUCGACUGCGUGAAGUCGGAAUCGCUAGUAAUCGUGAAUCAGAAUGUCACGGUGAAUACGUUCCCGGGCCUUGUACACACCGCCCGUCACACCAUGGGAGUGGGUUGCUCCAGAAGUAGCUAGUCUAACCUUCGGGGGGACGGUUACCACGGAGUGAUUCAUGACUGGGGUGAAGUCGAACAAGAGCCAUUCCA
RNAcentral lists this ribosomal RNA (313 nucleotides) under Pseudomonas sp. SV6B4. RNAcentral describes it as "bacterial SSU rRNA". It matches the Rfam family "Bacterial small subunit ribosomal RNA", at positions 1190 to 1507 of the family's 1533-position model. The record is from RNAcentral. Lineage: Bacteria; Pseudomonadati; Pseudomonadota; Gammaproteobacteria; Pseudomonadales; Pseudomonadaceae.